UCAAGUUAUUAAGGGUGCAGGGCGGAUGCCUUGGCACUAGGAGCCGAUGAAGGACGUGAUAAGCUGCGAUAAGCUUCGGGGAGUUGCACGUAAACUUUGAACCGAAGAUUUCCGAAUGAGGAAACUCACUUAGAGUAAUGUCUAAGUAUCAUUAAGUGAAUACAUAGCUUAAUGAGGGGAACUCAGGGAACUGAAACAUCUAAGUACCUGAAGGAAGAGAAAGAAAUUCGAUUCCGUAAGUAGCGGCGAGCGAACGCGGAUUAGCCCAAACCAAUAAAGUUUUCUUUAUUGGGGUUGCGGACAUAUCAUAACGAAGAGGUAUCGUAAUUGAAGAGGUUUGGAAAGACCCACCACAGAAGGUAAUAGUCCUGUAUGUUAAACGAGAAGACUUUAGAUAUGAUCCAGAGUACCACGGGACACGUGAAACCCUGUGGGAAGCAGGAGGGACCACCCUCCAAGGCUAAAUACUACCUAGUGACCGAUAGCGUAUAGUACCGUGAGGGAAAGGUGAAAAGAACCCCGGGAGGGGAGUGAAAUAGAACCUGAAACCCUGCACUUACAAGCUGUGGAAGCACAUUUCUUGUGUGACCGCGUACUUUUUGUAGAACGGGCCAACGAGUUACGUUAAGUAGCAAGGUUAAGCACUUAAGGUGCGGAGCCGUAGCGAAAGCGAGUUUUAACUGAGCGUUCAGUUACUUGACGUAGACCCGAAACCGGGCGACCUACCCAUGAGCAGGAUGAAGCGAAAGUAAAAUUUCGUGGAGGUCCGAACCCACGAGCGUUGAAAAGCUCGGGGAUGACUUGUGGGUAGCGGUGAAAUUCCAAUCGAG
RNAcentral lists this ribosomal RNA (830 nucleotides) under Clostridioides difficile DA00244. RNAcentral's name for it is "bacterial LSU rRNA". It matches the Rfam family "Bacterial large subunit ribosomal RNA", at positions 3 to 837 of the family's 2925-position model. Lineage: Bacteria; Bacillati; Bacillota; Clostridia; Peptostreptococcales; Peptostreptococcaceae. The record is from RNAcentral.